GCUUUGGAUCUCUUUAGGAGUCCGGAAUGCAACAUUAUUAGGCUGUUCUAAAUUUACUUCUGCAUUCUCAGAAUUAUUUCUAAGUUCUGUUGAAGAAGCUGUUUUAUCUGCUUUCUUCUGGAAAGUUAGGAUGAUUAUAAUCCUGCAUUAGGUUUUCAUGGAGGUGGAGGUUGAAAUUCAGGAGGAGUUGGGGGAAGGGAGGACAAAGAGAAUCCUCCUAAGGUUAAGUGACUUGCCUUAUGUGACACAGAUAAUAAGCAGCAUGGUAAGAAUUUACUACUAAACUGUCAGCUUUGUUGGGAGUGAGAGGUUCAAGGAACAUGAAUUAUGUUUCAUUUCAUUUUUGGAUUUCCCUAUAGCUUGGAUAAUGGAAAUGAUUACUGAAUAAAAUUAAACAGAGGUGAUAGUUCA
RNAcentral lists this long non-coding RNA (411 nucleotides) under Monodelphis domestica (gray short-tailed opossum). RNAcentral describes it as "lncRNA (ENSMODG00000031122.2)". Lineage: Eukaryota; Metazoa; Chordata; Mammalia; Didelphimorphia; Didelphidae. The record is from RNAcentral.